AAAGGUUACGGUAAGAGAUGAGCAUNNGUCCUAUUAGCUAGAUGGUAAGGUAACGGCUUACCAUGGCAACGAUAGGUAGGGGUCCUGAGAGGGAGAUCCCCCACACUGGUACUGAGACACGGACCAGACUCCUACGGGAGGCAGCAGUGAGGAAUUUUGGACAAUGGGCGAGAGCCUGAUCCAGCCAUGCCGCGUGCAGGAAGACUGCCCUAUGGGUUGUAAACUGCUUUUGUAUAGGAAGAAACCUUUCCUCGUGAGGAAAAUUGACGGUACUAUACGAAUAAGGAUCGGCUAACUCCGUGCCAGCAGCCGCGGUAAUACGGAGGAUCCAAGCGUUAUCCGGAAUCAUUGGGUUUAAAGGGUCCGUAGGCGGGUUUAUAAGUCAGUGGUGAAAGUCUGCAGCUUAACUGUAGAACUGCCAUUGAUACUGUAGAUCUUGAAUCAUUAUGAAGUGGUUAGAAUGUGUAGUGUAGCGGUGAAAUGCAUAGAUAUUACACAGAAUACCGAUUGCGAAGGCAGAUCACUAAUAAUGUAUUGACGCUGAUGGACGAAAGCGUAGGUAGCAAACAGGAUUAGAUACCCUGGUAGUCUACGCCGUAAACGAUGGUUACUAGCUGUCCGGCCUAAUUGAGGGCUGGGUGGUUAAGCGAAAGUGAUAAGUAACCCACCUGGGGAGUACGUUCGCAAGAAUGAAACUCAAAGGAAUUGACGGGGGCCCGCACAAGCGGUGGAGCAUGUGGUUUAAUUCGAUGAUACGCGAGGAACCUUACCAGGGCUUAAAUGCAGUCUGACGUACUUGGAAACAGGUAUUUCUUCGGACAGAUUGCAAGGUGCUGCAUGGUUGUCGUCAGCUCGUGCCGUGAGGUGUCAGGUUAAGUCCUAUAACGAGCGCAACCCCUGUGGUUAGUUGCCAGCACGUAAUGGUGGGAACUCUAGCCAGACUGCCGGUGCAAACCGUGAGGAAGGUGGGGAUGACGUCAAAUCAUCACGGCCCUUACGUCCUGGGCCACACACGUGCUACAAUGGUAGGGACAGAGAGCAGCCACUUCGCGAGAAGGAGCGAAUCUAUAAACCCUAUCACAGUUCGGAUCGUAGUCUGCAACUCGACUACGUGAAGCUGGAAUCGCUAGUAAUCGCAUAUCAGCCAUGAUGCGGUGAAUANNNNCCCGGGCCUUGUACACACCGCCCGUCAAGCCAUGGAAGCCGGGGGUACCUGAAAGUCCG
Molecule: ribosomal RNA, 1224 nt
Filed under: Zunongwangia atlantica
Lineage: Bacteria; Pseudomonadati; Bacteroidota; Flavobacteriia; Flavobacteriales; Flavobacteriaceae
Description: bacterial SSU rRNA
Rfam family: Bacterial small subunit ribosomal RNA
Source: RNAcentral